UGUUAAAAUAGUACACACGGCGCCGCGA
RNAcentral lists this small RNA (28 nucleotides) under Bombyx mori (domestic silkworm). RNAcentral describes it as "ovarian small RNA-35974". The record is from RNAcentral. Lineage: Eukaryota; Metazoa; Arthropoda; Insecta; Lepidoptera; Bombycidae.